UUUUGGAAUAAUAUCCCUCUUAUUGAUUAGGGAGAAAGUUUUUUGUUUGCUUUGAAUCUUAUGGUUGUUUUGGUUCAUCAACUCACUAUUUAAAAAACUUAGAUGCUACUAUGCUUCUUAAAAUGUUCUUUACUGUUUCACAAGUUUAUUCAUGCAAAGACUCAAUUUUGUAAUUAAUAUAUUAAUGUCAAUAUAUACUUGUAAGAU
This 207-nucleotide long non-coding RNA is filed under the name Lathyrus oleraceus (garden pea). Its description in RNAcentral is "Pisum sativum (pea) long non-coding RNA (PSAT_LNC034717)". Lineage: Eukaryota; Viridiplantae; Streptophyta; Magnoliopsida; Fabales; Fabaceae. The record is from RNAcentral.